GCACCUGAAUCUUUCCCAGGCCUGGCAGAAUGUGUGUAGGCCUGGGGACACAUGGUGCUAAAGCAAAGCAAAUCCAGACAAGUCACUUCCCUGUUUGUUGAGGGCUUGUCUCUACACCUUUGCAACAUUG
Molecule: small nucleolar RNA, 130 nt
Organism: Lacerta agilis (Sand lizard)
Lineage: Eukaryota; Metazoa; Chordata; Lepidosauria; Squamata; Lacertidae
Product: small nucleolar RNA SNORA55
Exons: 1
Source: RefSeq, a predicted model, not a curated record